CGGACGGGUGAGUAAUGUCUGGGAAACUGCCUGAUGGAGGGGGAUAACUACUGGAAACGGUAGCUAAUACCGCAUAACGUCGCAAGACCAAAGAGGGGGACCUUCGGGCCUCUUGCCAUCGGAUGUGCCCCAGAUGGGAUUAGCUAGUAGGUGAGGUAACGGCUCACCUAGGCGACGAUCCCUAGCUGGUCUGAGAGGAUGACCAGCCACACUGGAACUGAGACACGGUCCAGACUCCUACGGGAGGCAGCAUG
Molecule: ribosomal RNA, 254 nt
Filed under: uncultured bacterium
Lineage: Bacteria
Description: partial 16S ribosomal RNA
Rfam family: Bacterial small subunit ribosomal RNA
Source: RNAcentral